CCUGUUUAUUAAAAMCMUGGYUUGWWRAGUAUGAUUUCAAGUYUGACCUGCCCAAUGAUUUAAAUUAAAUGGCCGCGGUAUAUUGACCGUGCAAAGGUAGCAUAAUCAUUAGUUUUUUAAUUGAAAGCUUGAAUGAAGGGUUUGAUGAGAAAGUUUYUGUYUYUGGAAAAAUUUAUUAGAAUUUUAUUUUUAAGUUAAAAAGCUUAAAUAUAUAUAGAAGACGAGAAGACCCUAUAGAGUUUAAUUGUUUUAUAUAAGACAGUAUUUUGAGGUUUUUGAUGUAUGGUUUUAUAUAUAAUUAUUUUGUUGGGGCGAUAGGAAAAUUAAUUCAACUUUUCUUUAUAAGUACAUUUAUUUAUGAAUCUAUGAUCCUAAGUUUUAGAUUAUAAGGUUAAAUUACCUUAGGGAUAACAGCGUUAUUUUUWUUAGAGUUBUUAUCGAAAAAAAAGUUUGCGACCUSRAUGUUGGAUUAAA
This 474-nucleotide ribosomal RNA is filed under the name Trigonopterus nothofagorum. Its description in RNAcentral is "partial large subunit ribosomal RNA". The record is from RNAcentral. Lineage: Eukaryota; Metazoa; Arthropoda; Insecta; Coleoptera; Curculionidae.